UGCUUGUGGCGUGAAGGUGUCAAGUGAAAACUUGAGACUGAGCGGUUAAAGUCAAGGUCCAAAGCAAAAAUAGAGUGUGCUUAAGAACCCUGGACACCUCUAAUUGGGGACUUUAGCAAAGCUGAGUCACAAUCUGAAAAGGUUCACCCAAUUAUGUGUCUGUGGCAUUUAUGUAUCCGGUGGUAAUACUGGAAAACAAAGUGCUUAGGGCCACGGCCAAGACUCAUAAAAUAGCUGUGUUCA
This 243-nucleotide long non-coding RNA is filed under the name Arachis ipaensis. RNAcentral's name for it is "long non-coding RNA (AIPA_LNC000590)". Lineage: Eukaryota; Viridiplantae; Streptophyta; Magnoliopsida; Fabales; Fabaceae. The record is from RNAcentral.